This 70-nucleotide microRNA precursor is filed under the name Marmota monax (woodchuck). Lineage: Eukaryota; Metazoa; Chordata; Mammalia; Rodentia; Sciuridae. The record is from RNAcentral.
UGUGUGCGUAUGUGUGUGUGUAUAUAUGUAUAUAUAUAUAUAUAUAUGCACACACACAUACGCACACAUA